Molecule: small RNA, 316 nt
Filed under: Pongo abelii (Sumatran orangutan)
Lineage: Eukaryota; Metazoa; Chordata; Mammalia; Primates; Hominidae
Description: retained intron
Source: RNAcentral
AGUGUCCUGGACCCUGCGGAGCGGGCGGUCAUUCGCAUCGCAGAUGAGCGGGAUCGUGUGCAGAAGAAAACCUUCACCAAGUGGGUCAACAAGCACCUCAUCAAGGCCCAGAGGCACAUCAGUGACCUGUAUGAAGACCUCCGCGAUGGCCACAACCUCAUCUCCCUGCUGGAGGUCCUCUCGGGGGACAGCCUGCCGAGGGAGCGGGACGUAAGCAGGAGCUCACGCCUGGUGAGUGGCUGUGCCUGCCGGCCGCAGCGGCACGGGAGCUCCACAAGACCGUGGAGCCCAGCUUUCUGGCGGCUGGUGGCCCAUC